This 175-nucleotide long non-coding RNA is filed under the name Naja naja (Indian cobra). RNAcentral's name for it is "lncRNA (ENSNNAG00000001488.1)". The record is from RNAcentral. Lineage: Eukaryota; Metazoa; Chordata; Lepidosauria; Squamata; Elapidae.
CCCUAUCAGGAAAUAUCUUUGGAUUGACAUGAGACUUGGUUUGAUUAUUCUCAGGAGAAGAGGCCAGUCUGCGGUUACAUUGUGCUCUGUAUCAGUGCCCGUGAAACCUCUGGAAGGAAAUGAAAGAUAUAUUUUUCAAGAACAUGGAAAGAAGAAGAUAGCUGUCACUGAUUAA